CAGCGACGCCGCGUGCGGGAUGAAGGCCUUAGGGUUGUAAACCGCUUUCAGCAGGGAAGAAGCGAAAGUGACGGUACCUGCAAAAGAAGCACCGGCUAACUAUGUGCCAGCAGCCGCGGUAAUACAUAGGGUGCAAGCGUUGUCCGGAAUUAUUGGGCGUAAAGAGUUCGUAGGUGGUUCGUUACGUCGGAUGUGAAAAUCUGGGGCUCAACCCCAGACCUGCAUUCGAUACGGGCGAGCUAGAGUUUGGUAGGGGAGACUGGAAUUCCUGGUGUAGCGGUGGAAUGCGCAGAUAUCAGGAGGAACACCAAUGGCGAAGGCAGGUCUCUGGGCCAAUACUGACACUGAGGAACGAAAGCGUGGGGAGCGAACAGGAUUAGAUACCCUGGUAGUCCACGCCGUAAACGGUGGGCGCUAGUUGUGGGGACCUUCCACGGUCUCUGCGACGCAGCUAACGCAUUAAGCGCCCCGCCUGGGGAGUACGAUCGCAAGAUUA
Molecule: ribosomal RNA, 496 nt
Filed under: uncultured Actinomycetes bacterium
Lineage: Bacteria; Bacillati; Actinomycetota; Actinomycetes
Description: bacterial SSU rRNA
Rfam family: Bacterial small subunit ribosomal RNA
Source: RNAcentral